Meriones unguiculatus (Mongolian gerbil) is the source of this 1468-nucleotide long non-coding RNA. RefSeq lists it as uncharacterized. Lineage: Eukaryota; Metazoa; Chordata; Mammalia; Rodentia; Muridae. The record is from RefSeq and is a predicted model, not a curated record. The transcript is spliced from 4 exons.
AUUUACAUGUUGCCUUCUUGUUCAACGAACAGCGUCAGCAUCCACUAAUUAAUCCAUCAGCGACGAUCGCCGCCAGCAUCACUCCAUCAUUAGCCGAUCUCCGAAAGAAGCAAGAGGACUGCUGCCCUUGGAGACUUAUCUUCAACAGAAGAAACAAGUAUCACCUGCUUUGGGAGUGAAAUCUGAUUAAAGCCAGAUCCUUCAAUGAAGAGAGAAAGGGAGAGAAAAGAACUGAGAAAAUGGAGGGAACGUGGCACCUAGUUGUGAGGAUGAAGAAGCAAGUACUACAGAGUCUCUCCUUUCUCAUUUGCAGUUCUAUUCCGGACAUGACAUACGUCACUUCAGCGCAUCACCAAAUAGCAAGCUGGUGAGCUGUUUAUCUCCCUCCCUGCACCUUAUUAAGAAGUGAAGCUCUGUUGGUGACUAAUGGAAGGAGCUAAGUCAGAGGGUACCAGUUGUUCUUAUAUCCUAGGACUGGAGAGAAAUAAGAUACCUGCAAAGAAAAGACACGUGAUUUGAGAAAGAGCGUUGGUAGUGGAGAGGGAAAAAGAACAGAAUUGAUGCUGAAGGCAGCGGAAUCAACGGGGCAGAGAAGCGGCUCGGCUGCGCCUCGCAAGCACUAGGAGGACCUGAGCUUGAUUCCCAGAAUGCACCUGAGAGUGCCAAGUGCAACAGUGUGCACUUAUAAUCUCAGAGGUUGGAGGAGCAGGUAGAGGUGGAUCUUUGAGGCUUGCUGGCCGGCUAGCCUAGCCUACUCGGAGGGUGCCAGGCUGGUGAGAGACUCAGAAAGGAAAACAAAAAAGGUUGGUGGUGCCUGGUAAAGGAUACCCAGCGUUGUCCAGUGCUGCGUACACAGACCAUACUCACACAAAUGCGCAUAGCCACACAUACGCAAGCACCCGCAAACACACGAAGUCGCAUGGGCCUGUAAGUGUGAAGGAAACUCUCAGAAUUCAAAGGGAAUGAGGAGGGAUACAAAGGGAACGUGCUGUUAGAGGGAGAAAAAAAAUGAAGACACGAGAGUAAUGUGGACAUGUUUUAAUGUGAGAAAUUAAACCCUUUUCGAGAAUGCUGACAGAAAACCACCAAACAAAAAUCAUGGCAAUUGCAUGUGUGAACUCAAUAGUGUUUGUGACGGGAUGCACAAAUUUCAAACAGCCAGAAUCCCUGCACGGAAAUGGGGAGGUAGGCAUGAAAUCCCACCACUAGCUGGGGAGCUGUCGGCAUUUGAUAGUUGCUGGGAGAGGGAAUCAGUUUUCUUUAAUGGUGUCACCCCUGGUAAGUUGACCACAGGCCAAGACAGGCCCCACACCCAAGAGUAGUUGUGUGGCACAAGCUGGACUUGAUACGGAAGAAAAAGAAAGAAGCAAGCUUAAAAUUGAGUGGGUAGGGAGGGGAGGGUAGAGAAGGUGGGCAUAAGAGGAGUUGGAGAUAUGAUCAAAAUACAUUGUAUGGAAUUCUCAAAGAA